CCAUCUCUCCCCGGCGCGAUCGACGAGACGCCUCUUCCGCCCGCCCUUCCAAGAUCCUCCACCUACGGUUACCUCCUUGCCGACCUCCACCACCGGAACAGCCUGUCAAACUUCCUGGGAAUCUGCUCAUUGUCGUGUUCAGGUUCAGUUCCGGGAGGGAAUAUUGAAUUGACGUGGUCUCUAUACCUAGAAAUCUCCUCUGAAGAGGAAUCCUGUGCCACAGUAUAUGGAUCUAAUUGGGGUUUCUUCUCCAGAAGCUUAUAGUUUUGCUAUUUUUUGUUGUCAAAGCUCAUUACUUCUAAAUGACAGUUGCGUGAUUGCCCGAGAAAGAUGCCAUGUUUUGGUAUCUGCUAUAAGCAUGUUGAUCCAGCAGAAACAACUGUUGACAGAGAUAUAAGUGGGGUCAAAGUUGGAUCAUGGAUGAAUACUCAUGUCCAUGCAGAUCAUGUCGCAACAACAGGCUUGAUAUAAGAGAAACUUGGAAUAUGCUUAUACACAAUACAUCAUGCAUUUGGUGCAGUAGCUGAUCACAUGAUUGAACAUGGUUUUGAAACAUACUCUGGGGUUCUUCUUCUGAAGCAGGUUGAAGUAUUUGAGUCAUGGAGGCAAUAAGGAAUGCGUUACUCUCUCCUUGCAGAUCCACUUCAAGAAACAGAUAUAUUAUGAUUAGCAUAUCACUUAUCUUUUAUAAUCCUCACUUCUCUUCUUCAUCUUCCAUUGUACCUUCCCUUCUCCUUUAUUGGCCCAUCAACUGUAGUCUCAUAUGUGUAUAUAGGAUUGAUAUAUUGUAGCUUGCUGCCUAGUCUUGUUCC
RNA transcript from Musa acuminata subsp. malaccensis (wild Malaysian banana), 812 nucleotides. It is a transcript of the gene named protein RADIALIS-like 4, with no coding region annotated. The record is from RefSeq and is a predicted model, not a curated record. NCBI's taxonomy places the organism in Eukaryota, Viridiplantae, Streptophyta, Magnoliopsida, Zingiberales, Musaceae.